RNAcentral lists this long non-coding RNA (1859 nucleotides) under Salmo salar (Atlantic salmon). RNAcentral's name for it is "lncRNA (ENSSSAG00000119099.1)". The record is from RNAcentral. Lineage: Eukaryota; Metazoa; Chordata; Actinopteri; Salmoniformes; Salmonidae.
GGCUGAAGUAUUCCAGUCCUCCUCCCAUUCUACAGCCAGGCUUUGAGAUAGAGGGUGAGUGUCAUAUUAUGGGUUAGCAGCCCAGUGUAAGCCUGGUGAGGAGGAGGACAUCCUAACACGGCACCUCACUUUCCACAGUUCAUUUCUGUACACCGCUAAAUUAUCAAAGUCACACACCUCAUUCUCCACACUCCUGUACACCAAAAUCAGGCUAGGUCAUAAUGUCUGCACAACAGCUAAAUGGGAUCUUCGGGAUUGCAUAAUUCAAUGCAAAAAUAAACCAAUCAGCGCAUAUUAUGCGAGAGCUCGCAAUUUUGACCAAUUCCCGCACUUUUAGCGCAUAAAAGGGUCCAAUCAAAAGCGUGUUCGUAAUUUUGGAUUGGGCCGUUUGGAAAAUGGUUUUCCUCCUGGCCUGUCAGCGUAUUCACGUGUGAAGAUGAUGGGUGAUUGUUGAUGGCUGACAGGCAAUACAACGAACAGAAAUCAAUCUCAUUUGCCAACAAAAAUAAUAGCUAACGACAGUGCGAAACAAUUUCUAAAUGUUUCUGAAAACUAGAGAAAGUCGACAAUCAACAGUCACUUCGAAUCAGCAAAGAAUAUGAGAAUGUCAGAACAGUUCCCACAGUAGUGGCAGAUCACCAUGACUACAGUGGUAGCAGGGAAGACUGUGGCAAACGCUGAAAGAAUCACGUAGCCAAUACUGGGACCAUGACACCAAACGGUCAGUAUGGGGCUAUGGCCUAUUGGACCACUGGAAAACUGGGCCCAACUUAUACCAGUCUGUGUAAGUAGAUAACACACACACACACACACCAACAGAUCCCGAAGGCACGGUUAGGCUGAUAAAAGACAAUUACAGUGCAGUUUAAAUGGAGCAAAUCCCUCCUGUUUCUCUCUGGCUCUGACCACACACAGCUGUUUGAACCACCAACAACCUGUAGCGCUCUAUAGACUAGGUCUAAUGUAGGGGAAAUGGACCGUGAGAGUCGACCACACACCAUCAAGUGGGCAAGGGUAAAGAUUUAUGAGGGCCAGUCAAGGGCAGAGUAGGGCUGGAAAUUGCCAGGGACCUCACGAUACGAUAUUAUCACAAAAUGUAGGUGCUGAUACGAUAUGUAUUGCAAUUCGAUGUUCCAAACAUAUUGCUCACCAUAUGUCUGCUCCAGACGCACAGAGAGAGCCAUGAAAAAACGAGUUUUGAUCAAUCAUGGAAAUAAAAGUGCUAAAAAUCAAAUUGGCUCCAUCUAUAAAAGAAGUCUGAGAACAAGCUAUGAAGAAUGACACUGGAGUUUUGGUGCAGGUACUACCAACCUGCGCAAAAUAUUGCGAUAUUGUCAAAACUAUUUUCGCAUACACAAAAUAUCUAUUAUUUAGAACGCAAGUACAGGUGUUCGGACAGAGCGAGGGACAGAGCGAGGGACAGUCUCUCCUCUUGUCAAGCAGCCUCCAACCCCUGAGCUGCACCGCUUCAUUAUGAGUACAAUGAGAGGUCCCACUAACCCCACACACAAUAUCCUCAUUUACACACAGACAACGCACACACACACACACACAAUGGCCACUCCAGAGACAGAGAUCUCACCAGCCACACACACACCAGACCAGAGAUGGGGGAGAAGAGAAGGAACCGGAGAGGGGUUGAGGGAGAAGGAAACUAAAUAUGAAGCGUCCCCAUAUAAACACAGCAACACCAGAUCACUGUGUGUGUGUGUGUGUGUGUGUGUGUGUGUGUGUGUGUGUGUGUGUGUGUGUGUGUGUGUGUGUGUGUGAUUCACACCCAGACCCCAGCCUUCCUCCUGCCUGCCCUGUCACUGUGGAGAAAGUGACUGACUACUACUAACCCAUUGCAUCCCUGGGUC